Molecule: ribosomal RNA, 439 nt
Filed under: uncultured Sedimentibacter sp.
Lineage: Bacteria; Bacillati; Bacillota; Tissierellia
Description: bacterial SSU rRNA
Rfam family: Bacterial small subunit ribosomal RNA
Source: RNAcentral
AAUUCGAAGCAACGCGAAGAACCUUACCAAGGUUUGACAUCCCCUUGACAGAUGCAGAGAUGUGUCCUCCCGUUCGGGGCGAAGGGAGACAGGUGGUGCAUGGGUUGUCGUCAGCUCGUGUCGUGAGAUGUUGGGUUAAGUCCCGCAACGAGCGCAACCCUUAUCCUUAGUUGCCAGCAGGUCAAGCUGGGCACUCUAAGGAGACUGCCAGUGAUAAACUGGAGGAAGGUGGGGAUGACGUCAAAUCAUCAUGCCCCUUAUAUCUUGGGCUACACACGUGCUACAAUGGUCGGUACAAAGGGGAGCGAAAGAGUGAUCUGGAGCAAAUCUCAAUAAACCGGUCCCAGUUCGGAUUGUAGGCUGCAACUCGCCUACAUGAAGUCGGAGUUGCUAGUAAUCGCGGAUCAGCACGCCGCGGUCGAAUACGUUCCCGGGCCUU